This 314-nucleotide long non-coding RNA is filed under the name Carica papaya (papaya). RNAcentral describes it as "long non-coding RNA (CPAP_LNC007408)". The record is from RNAcentral. Lineage: Eukaryota; Viridiplantae; Streptophyta; Magnoliopsida; Brassicales; Caricaceae.
CUGAGCAAUAUCAGCAGAGACUCAAAAUUCUGAGUUUAAACCCUAUUUAGUAUCCUUUAUGAGAGCUGCUAGAGUGGGAUCAGUCAAUUGAACCUCCUUUAUUCUCUAGAUUAAUUCAGGUUGGACUGUUAUGUGGGGCAGACAUAUGACCUUUUUCAAAUCUUCGAGUUAUAUCUACUACGUAGCUUUUAUCACCCUACACUUAGAAAUCAUUAUGUGAGAUAACAUACAUGCAUUCUUCCUGAGAGUAUCGGCUACCACAUUGCCCUUGGUCGGGUUAUAUAAAAUAUUACAAUCGUAAUCCUUGAUGAGUU